RNAcentral lists this small nuclear RNA (169 nucleotides) under Mus pahari (shrew mouse). RNAcentral's name for it is "snRNA (MGP_PahariEiJ_G0033624.1)". Lineage: Eukaryota; Metazoa; Chordata; Mammalia; Rodentia; Muridae. The record is from RNAcentral.
GGCAUUAAAUGAAGAGUGCUUGCCAUGCUCAAGAUGGUGGUUCUCCCAGGGCGAGGCCCAUCCACUGUUGGGGCCAGGCUGACCCCUGCAAUUUUCCUAAAUGCAAGUAAUUCAACUGCAUAAGGUGUAGGGGGGAGACACGGGGGCUAUUGAGACCUGUAGACCUCAC